This 336-nucleotide long non-coding RNA is filed under the name Elaeis guineensis (African oil palm). RNAcentral describes it as "long non-coding RNA (EGUI_LNC023200)". The record is from RNAcentral. Lineage: Eukaryota; Viridiplantae; Streptophyta; Magnoliopsida; Arecales; Arecaceae.
AAUCCUCAAUGUACUCAGCAACAAAGGAUGCCAACCAGUCCACCUGUUAGCCUCCUGAAACACAUACUAGCUAGAAACUGCAAGCACUCAUUAGUGGCCUUCCAGAUGUCGCCAAGGAGAGGAUGGGCCUCAUAGUGCUUGGUCCCCUCCUAGAUCUGGCUGAUAACCAUCAGAGAAUCUCACUCAAUGAUGAUCUUUCAUGCUCGUAGCUCCCGGAUUGCACAGAUGACACCAGUCCAUGCAGCACGAAGCUUGGUACCGGACACGGACACCUCAUAAAGUGCUGAGCCCCCUGCAGUCAAUAUCCUCGAAUCCGGAUCUUGAAUGACAAAAUCG